Molecule: long non-coding RNA, 505 nt
Organism: Dermochelys coriacea (leatherback sea turtle)
Lineage: Eukaryota; Metazoa; Chordata; Testudines; Dermochelyidae
Exons: 3
Source: RefSeq, a predicted model, not a curated record
CUAGGUAUUAAAAAUAACAUUGUCUGCAGACAUAAUUGCCUUUUAGUAUAGUACAGCAAUUGUUAGGUAAGCAGUAAGCAAGGAAUGUUUGAGUAUGCUUUAAAACAGUAGUCUUAUGGGAUAUGUUUUGCGUGUUAACAAGGUGUCAGUGAAUAAUUAUCAGGACUAGAAAGCAAUUGAGUAGAGAGAUUGUUUAAAUCUGAGAUUGUCUUUAAGACCUUGUCUAUACUACCAAGUUUUGUUGCCAAAAACUGCUUUUUGUCAACCAAAUUGUGCAUGCGUACACACUGCGAUGCAACUUUUGUCGGGAAAAAUGCCCAGUUUUGGCAACUAAAUACAUCCACCACGAUGAGAGACUUAUGUCUUUUUCCUCUACGUUUUUCUUGACAAAGUGCCAGUGUAGACACCAUGCUUGAACUCAGCACUUUAAUUGACCUCCAGGAGGUGUCCGACAAUGCCCAUCCUAACCACUCUGGUCAGCAGUUUGAACUCCAAUGCACUGCAG